GAAUUUUGGACAAUGGGCGAAAGCCUGAUCCAGCAAUGCCGCGUGCAGGAUUAAGGCCUUCGUGUUGUAAACUGAUUUUGUACGGAACGAAAAGCUUUGGGUUAAUACCCUGGAGUCAUGACGGCACCGGAGGAAUAAGCACCGGCUAACUACGUGCAAGCAGUCGAGGUAAUACGUAGGGUGCAAGCGUUAAUCGGAAUUACUGGGCGUAAAGCGUGCGCAGGCGGUUUUGUAAGACAGAGGUGAAAUCUCCGGGCUCAACCUGGGAACUGCCUUUGUGACUGCAAGGAUAGAGGACGGCAGAGGGGGGUGGAAUUCCGCGUGUAGCAGUGAAAUGCGUAGAUAUGCGGAGGAACACCGAUGGCGAAGGCAACCCCCUGGGCCUGUACUGACGCUCAUGCACGAAAGCGUGGGGAGCAAACA
RNAcentral lists this ribosomal RNA (423 nucleotides) under uncultured bacterium. RNAcentral describes it as "partial 16S ribosomal RNA". It matches the Rfam family "Bacterial small subunit ribosomal RNA", at positions 359 to 774 of the family's 1533-position model. The record is from RNAcentral.